CGGAGAGGGAGCCUGAGAAAUGGCUACCACAUCCAAGGAAGGCAGCAGGCGCGCAAAUUACCCAAUCCUGACACAGGGAGGUAGUGACAAAAAAUAUCGAUGCAGGACCGUAAGGUCGUUGCAAUUGGAAUGAGCACAAUUUAAACCACUUAGCGAGUAACGAUUGGAGGGCAAGUCUGGUGCCAGCAGCCGCGGUAAUUCCAGCUCCAAUAGCGUAUAUUAAAGUUGUUGCAGUUAAAAAGCUCGUAGUCGAAUUUCGGGCACUGCGGUGCGGUUUGGCCCCGGUCAAUACUGCGCAGGCAGGGUCUUUCUUUUGGGGAAGCGCGGUGCCCUUUGUUGGGUGCGGUGGGGAACCAAGACGAUUACCUUGAGAAAAAUAGAGUGUUCAAAGCAGGCGUUUGCUUGGAUACGUUAGCAUGGAAUAAUAAGAUAGGACGUUGGUUCUAUUUUGUUGGUUUCGGGACCGAUGUCAUGAUGAAUAGGGACAGUUGGGGGCAUUAGUAUUCCUAAGCUAGAGGUGAAAUUCUUGGAUUUUAGGAAGACUGACUACUGCGAAAGCAUUUGCCAAGGAUGUUUUCAUUGAUCAAGAACGAAAGUUAGGGGAUCGAAGACGAUCAGAUACCGUCGUAGUCUUAACCAUAAACGAUGCCGACUGAGGGUCGGUGCGCGUCCGAUUGAGGACCGCAUCGGAACUCUGAGAGAAAUCAAAGUUUUUGGGCCCUGGGAGAAGUAUAGUCGCAAGGCCGAAACUUAAAGGAAUUGACGGAAGGGUACACAAGAAGUGGAGCCUGCGGCUUAAUUCGACUCAACACGGGAAAACUCACCAGGUCCAGACUUUAUCAGGAUUGACAGAUUUGAUAGCUCUUUCAUGAUUUAAAGGGUGGUGGUGCAUGGCCGUUCUUAGUUGGUGGAGUGAUUUGUCUGCUUAAUUGCGAUAACGAACGAGACCAAAACCUGCUAAAUAGAAUUACAAGCAUUUGCUUGAGAGUUCUUCUUAGAGGGACCAUCUGUGACUAACAGAAGGAAGUUUGUCAAUAACAGGUCAUGAUGCCCUUAGAUGUUCUGGGCCGCACGCGCGCUACACUGACCAAGACAGAGAGUGAUCAUUGUAUGGCUUUUGCUGUGCAUGCCUUGGCCGAGAGGCCCGGGUAAACUUUAAUCUUGGUCGUGAUGGGGAUUGAGCAUUGCAAUUAUUGCUCAUGAACGGGGAAUUUCUAGUAAGUGCGAGUCAUCAGCUCGCGCUGAUUACGUCCCUACCCUUUGUACACACCGCCCGUCGAUACUACCGAUUGGAUGACUUGGUGAGGC
This 1308-nucleotide ribosomal RNA is filed under the name uncultured microeukaryote. RNAcentral's name for it is "SSU rRNA". It matches the Rfam family "Eukaryotic small subunit ribosomal RNA", at positions 384 to 1707 of the family's 1831-position model. The record is from RNAcentral.